GAUGAUGGUUGAUUGGUUUAAAGCGUAGGAUUACCACCUCGGAAGUCCGAGGUGCGAAUCCUCGCCAUCAUCG
Molecule: transfer RNA, 73 nt
Filed under: Fasciola gigantica
Lineage: Eukaryota; Metazoa; Platyhelminthes; Trematoda; Plagiorchiida; Fasciolidae
Description: tRNA-Gly
Source: RNAcentral